AGAGUUUGAUCAUGGCUCAGGAUAAACGCUGGCGGCGUGCCUAAUCAAUGCGAGUCGAACGGCCACUUCGGUGGCAGUGGCGUCCGGGUGAGUAACGCGUAGCUAACCUACCCACGGAUGGGGGAUACCCUCCAGAAAUGGAGGCUAAUACCGCAUAGCAUGACGGGGAGCGAUCUCCGGCAUGAAAGCAGUAAUGCGUCGGUGGAGGGGGCUGCGUCCCAUUAGCUUGUUGGUGAGGUAACGGCUUACCAAGGCUUCGAUGGGUAGCUGGUCUGAGAGGACGAUCAGCCACACUGGGACUGAGACACGGCCCAGACUCCUACGGGAGGCAGCAGUGGGGAAUCUUGCGCAAUGCGCGAAAGCGUGACGCAGCAACGCCGCGUGGGGGAAGACGGCCUUCGGGUUGUAAACCCCUUUCAGGAGGGACGAAGGUCAGGCCGUUAAUAGCGGUCCUGACUGACGGUACCUCCAGAAGAAGCCCCGGCUAACUACGUGCCAGCAGCCGCGGUAAUAC
RNAcentral lists this ribosomal RNA (514 nucleotides) under uncultured bacterium. Its description in RNAcentral is "bacterial SSU rRNA". It matches the Rfam family "Bacterial small subunit ribosomal RNA", at positions 8 to 526 of the family's 1533-position model. The record is from RNAcentral.